This 1434-nucleotide ribosomal RNA is filed under the name metagenome. RNAcentral's name for it is "bacterial LSU rRNA". It matches the Rfam family "Bacterial large subunit ribosomal RNA", at positions 1452 to 2910 of the family's 2925-position model. The record is from RNAcentral.
AAACUGCGAUGUGGUGACGGAGUAGUGACACUGCCGCGAUCUGACGGAAUAGAUCGUUGAAGGCUGUAGGUAUUGGAGAGGUAGGCAAAUCCGCCUUUCUAGCUGAACGCUGAUAGUACCGCGAACCUUCGGGGGAGUGGAUAGUGCAGGUAAUCAGACUUCCAAGAAAACCCGCUAAGCUUCAGGUUAUAAAAACCCGUACCGCAAACCGACACAGGUAUCCGGGAAGAGAAUUCUAAGGUGCUCGAGUGAAUCAUGGCUAAGGAACUCGGCAAAAUGGCCCUGUAACUUCGGGAGAAGGGGCGCUGGCAGCAAUGUCAGCCGCAGUGAAAAGGCCCAGGCGACUGUUUAACAAAAACACAUGGCUUUGCAAAAUCGAAAGAUGAAGUAUAAGGCCUGACACCUGCCCGGUGCUGGAAGGUUAAGAGGGGAUGUCAUCCGCAAGGAGAAGCAUUGAAUCGAAGCCCCAGUAAACGGCGGCCGUAACAAUAACGGUCCUAAGGUAGCGAAAUUCCUUGUCGGGUAAGUUCCGACCUGCACGAAUGGUGUAACGAUCUGGGCGCUGUCUCAGCCAUGAGCUCGGUGAAAUUGUGGUCCCGGUGAAGACGCCGGGUACCCGCAACGGGACGGAAAGACCCCAUGCACCUUCACUACAAUUUAACAUUGACAUUGGAUACAGGAUGUGUAGGAUAGGUGGGAGACUAUGAAGCGGCGUCGCCAGGCGUCGUGGAGUCAACGUUGAAAUACCACCCUUUCUGUAUUCGGUGUCUAACUCCGCUACGUGGAGGACAUUGUUUGAUGGGUAGUUUGACUGGGGUGGUCGCCUCCAAAAAGGUAACGGAGGCUUUCAAAGGUAAGCUCAAUACGCUUGGUAACCGUAUGAGGAGUGCAAUAGCAUAAGCUUGCUUGACUGUGAGACAGACAAGACGAUCAGGGUCGAAAGACGGAUAUAGUGAUCCGGUGGUUCUGCAUGGAAGGGCCAUCGCUCAAAGGAUAAAAGGUACGCUGGGAUAACAGGCUGAUCUCCCCCAAGAGCUCAUAUCGACGGGGAGGUUUGGCACCUCGAUGUCGGCUCGUCACAUCCUGGGGCUGGAGAACGUCCCAAGGGUUCGGCUGUUCGCCGAUUAAAGUGGCACGCGAGCUGGGUUCAGAACGUCGCGAGACAGUUCGGUCCCUAUCUGUUGUGGGCGUUGGAAUUUUGAGUGGGGCUGACCUUAGUACGAGAGGACCGGGUUGGACUAGCCUCUAGUGAAUCUGUUGUUCCGCCAGGGGCAUUGCAGAGUAGCUACGCUGGGAAUAGAUAAGCGCUGAAAGCAUCUAAGUGCGAAACUAGCCACGAGAUGAGAAUUCCAUAUAGGACCGUAGAAGACUACUACGUUGAUAGGUUACAGAUGUAAAGAUGGCGACAUCAAAGUCGAGUAAUACUAAUAAUCC